This 439-nucleotide ribosomal RNA is filed under the name uncultured bacterium. Its description in RNAcentral is "partial 16S ribosomal RNA". It matches the Rfam family "Bacterial small subunit ribosomal RNA", at positions 338 to 795 of the family's 1533-position model. The record is from RNAcentral.
CCUACGGGUGGCAGCAGUAGGGAAUAUUGCUCAAUGGGGAAACCCUUAAGCAGCAACGCCGCGUGGAGGGUGGAAGUUUUCGGAUUUUAAACUCCUUUUGUUAGAGAAGAUAAUGACGGUAUCUAACGAAUAAGCACCGGCUCACUCCGUGCCAGCAGCCGCGGUAAUACGGAGGGGCCAAGCGUUACUCGGAAUCACUGGGCGUAAAGAGCGCGGAGGCGGGAUAGCAAGUCAGAUGUGAAAUCCUAUGGCUUAACCAUAGAACUGCAUUUGAAACUGGUAUUCUAGAGUAUGGGAGAGGUAGGUGGAAUUCUUGGUGUAGGGGUAAAAUCCGUAGAGAUCAAGAGGAAUACUCAUUGCGAAGGCGACCUGCUAGAACAUAACUGACGCUGAUGCGCGAAAGCGUGGGGAGCAAACAGGAUUAGAUACCCGAGUAGUC